Phacochoerus africanus (Common warthog) is the source of this 500-nucleotide long non-coding RNA. RefSeq lists it as uncharacterized. The transcript has 3 exons. The record is from RefSeq and is a predicted model, not a curated record. NCBI's taxonomy places the organism in Eukaryota, Metazoa, Chordata, Mammalia, Artiodactyla, Suidae.
UCAAGAGCUAAAAGCACUUUGAAGUCUGUAGGAAUCCAACAAUUCGGUUUCUUAGGCAACCCUCCACGGGAAGGCUGGACGUGUGGAGGCUGGACUUGGCAACCGCUGGCAUCCCUCUAAGCAAGAAGGGAGAAAUAAAAUGCUCUAUUUCGCCUCUUUUUCCUGGAUCUGAGAACGUCAAGGAAGUGAAAAUUAUGUCAGCGAGGGCCAGAAGCCAGGCACUCUGGUAGGUAGAGGUCAUACUUUGACCUUGCCCCAAAUCACACGGUGAGGAAGGAUGCACUUCCUGGAAUGCUUUUCCGGAUCUUCUGACUUUCUGCUGCACCCCACCGCCCCUUUCUCCUAAGCCUGGAUCACCUCUUCCAACAAGUGCCUCUGCAUUAAUCCCGGAGAACGCGGUUUCUGAUCAUAAACUUGAUGGGCCAAGUUCUGUCCGUAUAACUUGGUUGAGAGAGAGAUUGAGGAAGUUCUGUUCUUUGUUCUCCUUUAUCUCUGCAUUU